This 227-nucleotide ribosomal RNA is filed under the name uncultured Bacteroidales bacterium. RNAcentral describes it as "partial 16S ribosomal RNA". It matches the Rfam family "Bacterial small subunit ribosomal RNA", at positions 106 to 334 of the family's 1533-position model. The record is from RNAcentral. Lineage: Bacteria; Pseudomonadati; Bacteroidota; Bacteroidia; Bacteroidales.
GUGCGUAACGCGUAUGCAACUUGCCCUAUACAGGAGGAUAACCCGUCGAAAGACGGACUAAUACUGCGUAUGCUCACAACUUGGCAUCAAGUGGUGAGGAAAGAAAUUCGGUAUAGGAUAGGCAUGCGUCCCAUUAGCUUGUUGGUGAGGUAACGGCUCACCAAGGCAACGAUGGGUAGGGGAACUGAGAGGGUGAUCGGCCACACUGGGACUGAGACACGGCCCAG